GGUUAAGUUAGAAAGGGCGCACGGUGGAUGCCUUGGCACUAGGAGCCGAAGAAGGACGGGACUAACACCGAUAUGCUUUGGGGAGCUGUACGUAAGCGUUGAUCCAGAGAUUUCCGAAUGGGGGAACCCACUAUCUUUAGUCGGAUAGUAUCCUUACGUGAAUACAUAGCGUGAGGAAGGCAGACCCAGGGAACUGAAACAUCUAAGUACCUGGAGGAAGAGAAAGAAAAAUCGAUUUCCUGAGUAGCGGCGAGCGAAACGGAAAGAGCCCAAACCAAGAAGCUUGCUUCUUGGGGUUGUAGGACACUCUAUACGGAGUUACAAAAGAAAGUUAUAAAUGAAGCGGUCUGGAAAGGCCCGCCAAAGACGGUAACAGCCCGGUAGUUGAAAUGGCUUUCCCUCCAGAGUGGAUCCUGAGUACGGCGGAACACGUGAAAUUCCGUCGGAAUCCGGGAGGACCAUCUCCCAAGGCUAAAUACUCCCUAGUGACCGAUAGUGAACCAGUACCGUGAGGGACAGGUGAAAAGCACCCCGGACGGGGAGUGAAACAGUUCCUGAAACCGUGUGCCUACAAGUAGUUAGAGCCCGUUAAUGGGUGAUAGCGUGCCUUUUGUAGAAUGAACCGGCGAGUUACGAUUUGUUGCAAGGUUAAGCGGAAAAAGCGGAGCCGUAGCGAAAGCGAGUCUGAAUAGGGCGCAUAAGUAACAGGUCGUAGACCCGAAACCAGGUGAUCUACCCAUGUCCAGGAUGAAGGUAAGGUAAUACUUACUGGAGGUCCGAACCCACGCACGUUGAAAAGUGCGGGGAUGAGGUGUGGGUAGCGGAGAAAUUCCAAUCGAACUUGGAGAUAGCUGGUUCUCUCCGAAAUAGCUUUAGGGCUAGCCUCGAGGUAAAGAGUCAUGGAGGUAGAGCACUGUUUGGACUAGGGGCCCUUCUCGGGUUACCGAAUUCAGAUAAACUCCGAAUGCCAUGUACUUAUACUCGGGAGUCAGACUGCGAGUGAUAAGAUCCGUAGUCGAAAGGGAAACAGCCCAGACCACCAGUUAAGGUCCCCAAAUAUAUGUUAAGUGGAAAAGGAUGUGGGGUUGCUUAGACAACCAGGAUGUUGGCUUAGAAGCAGCCACCAUUGAAAGAGUGCGUAAUAGCUCACUGGUCGAGUGACCCCGCGCCGAAAAUGUACCGGGGCUAAACAUAUUACCGAAACUGUGGAUGAACCUCUGUAGAGGUUCGUGGUAGGAGAGCGUUCUAAGGGCGGUGAAGUCAGACCGGAAGGACUGGGGGAGCGCUUAGAAGUGAGAAUGCCGGUAUGAGUAGCGAAAGAAGGGUGAGACUCCCUUCCACCGAAUAUCUAAGGUUUCCUGAGGAAGGCUCGUCCGCUCAGGGUUAGUCGGGACCUAAGCCGAGGCCGAUAGGCGUAGGCGAUGGACAACAGGUAGAGAUUCCUGUACCAGUGCUAAUUGUUUAACCGAUGGGGUGACACAGAAGGAUAGGGAAUCGCACGAAUGGAAAUGUGCGUCCAAGCAGUGAGUGUGAGAAGUAGGCAAAUCCGCUUCUCGCGAAGCAUGAGCUGUGAUGGGGAAGGAAAUUAAGUACGGAAGUUCCUGAUUUCACGCUGUCAAGAAAAGCCUCUAGGAAGAGUAGUACUGCCCGUACCGCAAACCGACACAGGUAGAUGAGGAGAGAAUCCUAAGGUGAGCGAGAGAACUCUCGUUAAGGAACUCGGCAAAAUGACCCCGUAACUUCGGGAGAAGGGGUGCUCUAUUAGGGUGCAAGCCCGAGAGAGCCGCAGUGAAUAGGCCCAGGCGACUGUUUAGCAAAAACACAGGUCUCUGCAAAACCGUAAGGUGACGUAUAGGGGCUGACGCCUGCCCGGUGCUGGAAGGUUAAGAGGAGUGCUUAGCUUCGGCGAAGGUACGAAUUGAAGCCCCAGUAAACGGCGGCCGUAACUAUAACGGUCCUAAGGUAGCGAAAUUCCUUGUCGGGUAAGUUCCGACCCGCACGAAAGGCGCAACGAUCUGGGCACUGUCUCAACGAGAGACUCGGUGAAAUUAUAGUACCUGUGAAGAUGCAGGUUACCCGCGACAGGACGGAAAGACCCCGUGGAGCUUUACUGCAACCUGAUAUGGAAUGUUUGUACCGCUUGUACAGGAUAGGUAGGAGCCGAAGAGACGUGUGCGCUAGCAUACGAGGAGGCAAUGGUGGGAUACUACCCUGGCUGUAUGACCAUUCUAACCCGCCACGCUUAGCGCGUGGGGAGACAGUGUCAGGUGGGCAGUUUGACUGGGGCGGUCGCCUCCUAAAGAGUAACGGAGGCGCCCAAAGGUUCCCUCAGAAUGGAUGGAAAUCAUUCGCAGAGUGUAAAGGCACAAGGGAGCUUGACUGCGAGACUGACAAGUCGAGCAGGGACGAAAGUCGGGCUUAGUGAUCCGGUGGUUCCGCAUGGA
This 2444-nucleotide ribosomal RNA is filed under the name Listeria monocytogenes. RNAcentral describes it as "partial 23S ribosomal RNA". It matches the Rfam family "Bacterial large subunit ribosomal RNA", at positions 1 to 2437 of the family's 2925-position model. The record is from RNAcentral. Lineage: Bacteria; Bacillati; Bacillota; Bacilli; Caryophanales; Listeriaceae.